RNAcentral lists this ribosomal RNA (233 nucleotides) under Escherichia coli. RNAcentral's name for it is "partial 16S ribosomal RNA". It matches the Rfam family "Bacterial small subunit ribosomal RNA", at positions 1 to 230 of the family's 1533-position model. RNAcentral also lists the same sequence under 1 other name. The record is from RNAcentral. Lineage: Bacteria; Pseudomonadati; Pseudomonadota; Gammaproteobacteria; Enterobacterales; Enterobacteriaceae.
AAAUUGAAGAGUUUGAUCAUGGCUCAGAUUGAACGCUGGCGGCAGGCCUAACACAUGCAAGUCGAACGGUAACAGGAAACAGCUUGCUGUUUCGCUGACGAGUGGCGGACGGGUGAGUAAUGUCUGGGAAACUGCCUGAUGGAGGGGGAUAACUACUGGAAACGGUAGCUAAUACCGCAUAAUGUCGCAAGACUAAAGAGGGGGACCUUCGGGCCUCUUGCCAUCGGAUGUGC